UUGAUGAAAGAUGAGCAUUUUCGCUCAAGAAUAACUAGUAAAGUAUAUGAUAAAAUGUGAGCAAUUUUGCCACAAGAAUAUCAAGAUAAAUAUAUAAUAUCAAUAUGGUAAAUGAGAAUGAUAAAGAAAUAAGGACAAUAGGGAUUCAUUGAAACCAAAACACCUCAUGUCAACUUAUUUCUUGAUCAUAUUUCAAAUACCUUAAGAACAAAUUCCAUGGUCGCGGAGAUAAAGCCGAACCACCCUCCGUUUUUUUGAACAGCGGCAUCACCAGAAGCAGCUGUAGUCGAAUCUGCUGCUGCGACGGUUGCGUCGGCGAGCGUGUAUAGAAUGGCUUCAGUUCUUGUAACAAUUUUGGUGAAGUGUGAAGUUGAUGUUGGUUGUGGUGCGAGAGAGAGAAGGAAGAAGAAUACGAAAUAAGUGUCUUCGCCAUGGAUAUAAAGGAAAUGAAGAAGAACACGCUUCAGCUUCUCAUCACAACCGAUAACGUCUAGAAAUGAGAAUGAGGGGAUAUUUCCAAAUUAUCCGUUAGAGUGUUACAUUUUUCAAUUGACUUUCAGAGUA
Molecule: non-coding RNA, 564 nt
Organism: Lupinus albus (white lupine)
Lineage: Eukaryota; Viridiplantae; Streptophyta; Magnoliopsida; Fabales; Fabaceae
Source: the annotation of a GenBank genome assembly